RNAcentral lists this ribosomal RNA (253 nucleotides) under uncultured bacterium. RNAcentral's name for it is "partial 16S ribosomal RNA". It matches the Rfam family "Bacterial small subunit ribosomal RNA", at positions 524 to 776 of the family's 1533-position model. The record is from RNAcentral.
UACGUAGGGUGCAAGCGUUGUCCGGAAUUAUUGGGCGUAAAGAGCUCGUAGGCGGCUUGUCGCGUCGGCUGUGAAAACCUGGGGCUCAACCCCGGGCCUGCAGCCGAUACGGGCAAGCUAGAAUUCGGUAGGGGAGACUGGAAUUCCUGGUGUAGCGGUGAAAUGCGCAGAUAUCAGGAGGAACACCGGUGGCGAAGGCGGGUCUCUGGGCCGAAAUUGACGCUGAGGAGCGAAAGCCAGGGGAGCAAACGGG